GAGUGGUGUGAUAAACUCCUAUAUGGAGAAAUAGCGCUUUGCACGCUCUGCGUGUGUCUUCUCACUCUGCUGCUGUGUCACUGUCUCCAGCACAAGCACAAAGGUUCAGAACCGUCAUUGACAGAAGUUUCACCAACUUGCAGAGAUAUCACCUAUGCUGAGCUGGAUAUCAAGAGAAAACCCAGGACAGAGAGAAAACAAAGACAGGCCCAGAACCAGCAGGAAGACAGUAUGGUGUACAGUCAAGUGAGAUGCAAACAUGACUGAAGGAGAGUACAGCGAAGGUGAAGGGUAAAUUCAGACACCUGCAGAUAAAGAGAUACAGACCCACUGAUACUGCAGGAGCUCCCUGUGGAGAAACGGACAGAGAGGCAAACAAAGACAGCCAAAUCUGUACAGUCAUUUGUUGUUAAAAUUCAAUGUUUAUGCCUCCAAUUAUGAACUUGCAGUGUUUGUAAUUUUUACCAAUUAUUCUCAUUUUGGGGAAACAUUAAAAGAAAAAUAUGAAUUACUAAUAAUAAUAAAGAUUUAUUUCAUGUUUUAUUUUCUGCAGCAAACCAAAAUAAUACAAUUAACAUGUUACUUGUCACAAUGUUGCAUUAUUUUACUUGUCAUAAUUUGCAUUGCAUGAGAAAUGUGCAAACUGUGCUGAAUUCAUCUGGACUGUUUGGCCCUUUUUUCUU
Molecule: long non-coding RNA, 683 nt
Organism: Conger conger (European conger)
Lineage: Eukaryota; Metazoa; Chordata; Actinopteri; Anguilliformes; Congridae
Exons: 3
Source: RefSeq, a predicted model, not a curated record